This is a non-coding RNA of Lophiostoma macrostomum CBS 122681, 101 nucleotides long. The record is from the annotation of a GenBank genome assembly. Lineage: Eukaryota; Fungi; Ascomycota; Dothideomycetes; Pleosporales; Lophiostomataceae.
GUCGCUUUAGCUCACUUGGGAGAGCGCCAGACUGAAGUUCACUUCGGUUGUCACACCUGUGCGGUAUCUGGAGGUACUGUGUUCGAUCCACAGAAGCGACA